AUCAUUAAAAGCAAAGAAUCUGUCUCAGCUGUGGUCAGAAAGGGGGCGGUGACUACAGGAGAAUGAUCAGAGGGUUGCAACAUCGCUGGCUUUAAAGAUGCAUGAUGGAGGCCAGGAAUGCUGGCGUCCUCUGGAAGGCAAGAAAACGGGAAAGGGUCUUAGGAGAGUUGGACACAUUCAAAACACAAUAUGUGAUUAAGAAGAUUAAAGAUUAAUACUUAUUGAUGGAUUACUAUGUGCCAAACUUCCAACCGAAUCCUGACAACAAUUCCUUAAGAUGUGGAAACUGCAGUUCACUGAGGUUGACAUUUCCGGGUUCAUACAACAAGGAUGGGCAUGAUUGUGAGGCCUCCCCACCCACAUGGAAUGGAACAAUGGUUCAGGAUUCACUAAUUCAGUAUUAGCAGCAACUUUACGGAACAAAACUACUGUGGAUAAUGAGAAUUCACUGCGCCCGUUGUUUAAACAGUUAACAGCAGUCACUUUAGUGCCUUUUGUAGAGACAGAGCAACCCUGGCAACCAGUGAUCCACUUCCUGUCUCUAUAAACUUGCUUAUUCUGGACAUUUCAUAUAAAUGGAGCAAUACAAUAUGUGGACGCUGUCUGGCUUCUUUCACUUU
This 620-nucleotide long non-coding RNA is filed under the name Homo sapiens (human). RNAcentral describes it as "HSALNT0125457". The record is from RNAcentral. Lineage: Eukaryota; Metazoa; Chordata; Mammalia; Primates; Hominidae.